RNAcentral lists this ribosomal RNA (600 nucleotides) under Streptomyces sp. RNAcentral's name for it is "bacterial SSU rRNA". It matches the Rfam family "Bacterial small subunit ribosomal RNA", at positions 56 to 674 of the family's 1533-position model. Lineage: Bacteria; Bacillati; Actinomycetota; Actinomycetes; Kitasatosporales; Streptomycetaceae. The record is from RNAcentral.
UGCAGUCGAACGAUGAAGCCUUUCGGGGUGGAUUAGUGGCGAACGGGUGAGUAACACGUGGGCAAUCUGCCCUUCACUCUGGGACAAGCCCUGGAAACGGGGUCUAAUACCGGAUACGACCUGCCUCCGCAUGGGGGUGGGUGGAAAGCUCCGGCGGUGAAGGAUGAGCCCGCGGCCUAUCAGCUUGUUGGUGGGGUAAUGGCCUACCAAGGCGACGACGGGUAGCCGGCCUGAGAGGGCGACCGGCCACACUGGGACUGAGACACGGCCCAGACUCCUACGGGAGGCAGCAGUGGGGAAUAUUGCACAAUGGGCGAAAGCCUGAUGCAGCGACGCCGCGUGAGGGAUGACGGCCUUCGGGUUGUAAACCUCUUUCAGCAGGGAAGAAGCGAGAGUGACGGUACCUGCAGAAGAAGCGCCGGCUAACUACGUGCCAGCAGCCGCGGUAAUACGUAGGGCGCAAGCGUUGUCCGGAAUUAUUGGGCGUAAAGAGCUCGUAGGCGGCUUGUUGCGUCGGAUGUGAAAGCCCGGGGCUUAACCCCGGGUCUGCAUUCGAUACGGGCAGGCUAGAGUGUGGUAGGGGAGAUCGGAAUUCCUGGU